GCCUAAUCACUUCUCCCCAAUACUUCUUAGGCCUCCCUCUGCCUCGCCGAACGCCGACAAUUGCCAGCCGCUCACAAAUCCUCACCGGGGCAUCAGGACUUCUCCUCCGCACAUGCCCGAACCACCUCAGCCUCGCUUCUCGCAUCUUCUCACCGGGGCCACCCCCACCUUCUCUCGAAUAACUUCAUUCUUAAUCUUAUCUAACCUGGUGAGCCCGCACAUCCACCUGAGCAUCCUUAUCUCCGCAACCUUCAUUCUCUGAAUAUGAGAGUUCUUCACGGG
Molecule: long non-coding RNA, 282 nt
Filed under: Nicotiana benthamiana
Lineage: Eukaryota; Viridiplantae; Streptophyta; Magnoliopsida; Solanales; Solanaceae
Description: long non-coding RNA (NBEN_LNC024365)
Source: RNAcentral